Molecule: ribosomal RNA, 253 nt
Filed under: uncultured bacterium
Lineage: Bacteria
Description: partial 16S ribosomal RNA
Rfam family: Bacterial small subunit ribosomal RNA
Source: RNAcentral
UGCAGAGGUCUCGAGCGUUGUUCGGAUUCAUUGGGCGUAAAGGGUGCGUAGGUGGCGCCGUAAGUCGGGUGUGAAAUUUCGGAGCUUAACUCCGAAACUGCAUUCGAUACUGCGGUGCUUGAGGACUGGAGAGGAGACUGGAAUUCAUGGUGUAGCAGUGAAAUGCGUAGAGAUCAUGAGGAAGACCAGUGGCGAAGGCGGGUCUCUGGACAGUUCCUGACACUGAGGCACGAAGGCCAGGGGAGCAAACGGG